Molecule: small RNA, 113 nt
Filed under: Pseudescherichia vulneris (CDC Enteric Group 1)
Lineage: Bacteria; Pseudomonadati; Pseudomonadota; Gammaproteobacteria; Enterobacterales; Enterobacteriaceae
Description: tp2
Rfam family: tp2
Source: RNAcentral
GGUAUUCCUUAUCUAUCUGAUUACGUUAAUUUGUCUGGAACCUGUCCCAUUGCAUACUUGCCAGAGCUGGAAAUACACAAUAAGACAGGUUCUGCGUGAGUUGCCGCGCGUUU